Molecule: ribosomal RNA, 720 nt
Filed under: Streptomyces sp. 7-121
Lineage: Bacteria; Bacillati; Actinomycetota; Actinomycetes; Kitasatosporales; Streptomycetaceae
Description: bacterial SSU rRNA
Rfam family: Bacterial small subunit ribosomal RNA
Source: RNAcentral
ACGAUGAACCACUUCGGUGGGGAUUAGUGGCGAACGGGUGAGUAACACGUGGGCAAUCUGCCCUGCACUCUGGGACAAGCCCUGGAAACGGGGUCUAAUACCGGAUACUGACCCGCCUGGGCAUCCAGGCGGUUCGAAAGCUCCGGCGGUGCAGGAUGAGCCCGCGGCCUAUCAGCUUGUUGGUGAGGUAACGGCUCACCAAGGCGACGACGGGUAGCCGGCCUGAGAGGGCGACCGGCCACACUGGGACUGAGACACGGCCCAGACUCCUACGGGAGGCAGCAGUGGGGAAUAUUGCACAAUGGGCGAAAGCCUGAUGCAGCGACGCCGCGUGAGGGAUGACGGCCUUCGGGUUGUAAACCUCUUUCAGCAGGGAAGAAGCGCAAGUGACGGUACCUGCAGAAGAAGCGCCGGCUAACUACGUGCCAGCAGCCGCGGUAAUACGUAGGGCGCGAGCGUUGUCCGGAAUUAUUGGGCGUAAAGAGCUCGUAGGCGGCUUGUCGCGUCGGUUGUGAAAGCCCGGGGCUUAACCCCGGGUCUGCAGUCGAUACGGGCAGGCUAGAGUUCGGUAGGGGAGAUCGGAAUUCCUGGUGUAGCGGUGAAAUGCGCAGAUAUCAGGAGGAACACCGGUGGCGAAGGCGGAUCUCUGGGCCGAUACUGACGCUGAGGAGCGAAAGCGUGUGGAGCGAACAGGAUUAGAUACCCUGGUAGUCCACGCCG